UUUAAACUCUCAAACACAGCUUUCUGCUUGCUGGCCAGUUCAAUAUCUGCCAAUUGUUGCUCAACAUUAAUAAGCCAAGUAUCAACUUGCUUCAAUAAUUCUUCUUGCGUUUUCUUCUUCUUCAAUGCUAGCAAUGCCCUAUCCUUUCUCUUUUGAAGAAUCAAAUCUUUAGCAGCUUGCUUUUCUGCUUCAAUAACUUCUUCAAGCUUUUGUUGAUACUGUGCAAGCUUCCGCCUUUGGGUCUUGAGAGAAAGAAUUGCACGAUCCACCUCUGUGAUCUUUGGCUUCUUCACAAAUACAUUCCCCAUCUCUUCCUUGGGUGUUCCCUUUCUCCCUCUAUUCGCGGCUCGGAAUCUAGAUCAUUCGUGUUCGUU
RNAcentral lists this unclassified non-coding RNA (374 nucleotides) under Hevea brasiliensis (rubber tree). Lineage: Eukaryota; Viridiplantae; Streptophyta; Magnoliopsida; Malpighiales; Euphorbiaceae. The record is from RNAcentral.